ACACACAAACACAACACAGAGUUCUCGUUAUACUCUGCUCAACCUUUGCUCAGACACGCCGAAAAUCCAUAACCCUUUUACACUUAUACACCUUAUUUAUAUUCUUUCGCUCAUCCCAAGAAACUCAGAACCCACAACAGUUGCGCACAAUGGAGACCUUCAUUCAGGUGUCCUGAACAUUUCAGCCCCCCCUGCAUCUGUAUUUUUGCUUGAAGAAAAAUCUGGAAAUGGCAUUUAAAAUGGGCGAAAACGUUUCUGUGUUGCUCUUCACCCUUCUACUCUUUAUUGGUGGCGUGUAUUCUGUUUCAGCUCCUUCCUCACCUGCCAGAAUCGUAGACGGGCUUUUCUCUAAUGCAUAUUCCAAACUGAUGAAAUGGGUUUUAUCACUCAAGGCCACCUCCAGGACUAGAAAAGAUUGAUGUUCCUGAUUAGAGGGAAGGUUUCUUGGAAUGUUUAUCUGGUUUGUUGUUGGAUUCGCAGCAAUAUCAGGGCGUCCAGUGAUGAAUUUCGAGAACGGGUAUAAUGUGGAGACUGGGUUUGAUGUCAGCAAUUAAGCUUGGGAUUGAGCCUUACUCUGUUGAAGUUUUGCCUGAUGGGAACCUUCUGAUUUUGGAUUCUGCGAAUAGUAAUAUCUACAAGAUAUCAUCCUCUUUGUCCCUGUGUAAGUUUCUGCAGUGGGGAUUCUAUUUUUAUUGCUGCUCCUGCUAGUUUUCUGUGGGUUUGUGCUUCAUUGAUCAUGUAGUUUUUGUCCGAAACGGUUUGUUUCUACUUACAGUGAUUUUCCAGUUGCUGGGCUUCGAGUGGGAACUUGAUGUGUUUGCCAAAAUAUAGGCUGAAUGGCUGAUGUUGAUAGUGAGUUGGCGUAUCUGGCAUACCAAAUCUAUAUGGUGUAACUGCUGCAUCUGCUGAAACUUUUUUGCAUUGAUGAGAUGAAUUUGGUUUUUUGUGAUGUUACUUAUUUUAGGAAACUGUUGAUUUCAAAUGCUUCUGGAUUUGGAGUCUUAUCAAUUGAGAAUGUUUUAUUUGUUCUAAGAAGCCAAAUGCCUGACAGUGUUGCUUCCUCUGAAAUUUAAGUUUCAGCAACUCUGUUAUAGAGAUAUCAAGAUGGUGGAGAAGAGGGUUAGAAUUGGUGAUAAUGGGGGUUAAUAGCGUGGAAAAGAGCAACUUGGAAAAAGUGUCUUCUGGUGGUUAAUUGUUCAAGCGCAUAGAUUUACUGCCAAUUACCGAGUGCUAGGGAAGUGACUUAAAACUGUAAUCUGCUUCACAAUCUCAAUUUUGGAAUGUGGGGAUUGUUUCUAGUUAUGUCUUUCUCUCCACUUUUUCCUCUUAUGGUGAUUUCUGGAAAAUGAAGAUAGCAGGGCCAAGUUGGUUUCAGGGUCUGCAGAUGGAUACUCCGGACAUGUGGACGGAAGAUUGAGAGAAGCAAGAGUGAAUCAUCCAACUGGGAUGAUAGAGGAAAUGUCUACAUCGCCGACACUGAUAAUAUGGCAAUCAGGGAAAUAAAUGAUACAGGUUGUGGCCUUAAUUUCUUUUUUUAGGGGUCUCUCAACCAUUGCUGGAGGCAAACGUGGUAAUGGAGGUCAACAUGUGGAUGGACCAAGAGAAGAUGCAAAAUUCUCUAGUGAUUUUGAUGUGGUCUAUAUUUGGAGCCAUUGCUCCCUCCUUGUUAUCGACUGUGGAAAUAACGCAAUUUGUGAGAUACGACUCCAUUAUGAUGAUUGUGCUUAUCAGUAUGGAAGUGGUUUUCCCUUAGGAUGAGGGAGUUAUGCGCAAUCAACACCAAAAGCCAUUAAAGUCAUCAAUAAGACCACCACUAAUUCCAACAGAAGACCAGCAGGAAAACCAAGAAGAAAGCUUUCUAGGAUAUGUUGGAAGUCUGGUUGCACAGACCAGAGCAUCUGCUGCAGAUAUUCUGAGAGUAGUAUUUCCUAUGUAUAGGAACAAACCUAAUCAUCCUUAUCAGCAAUGCCUUAAUCAACAAAAGAAGCAUCCAAAUUCUUGGCCCGUACAGGAGAGCGUUGUAGCCCCAGGCGACGAUGAACUUCCAACCCUUGGAACCCAGAAUUUCUACUCCUCAUCGAACCUAAGACUUCAUGUCUGAAGAUUCUGAAAAAGUGCAACAUCUCCCACAAAGCCAUGCUCUCUAUAGUGGGUGGGAAGGAGACUUUUCACAGCAGCAGAAAAUAAAGAAACAGCAUCCUCGUUAUUAGUAUCAUUAAUCAGCUCCACGUACUUACUAUCAGCCACCUAUGAGAAGACGAAUUUGAUAGUUCUUGAGGCCGUGCAUGAGCAAGAGAAGGAGAGGGACGAUCUGAUGAUACUGGAUCAGGGCACAUUCCUGUUCAAGAACGUAUAGUACUCGUGCUGGAGUCAGCAAUGUGCAU
RNA transcript from Sesamum indicum (sesame), 2384 nucleotides. RefSeq lists it as uncharacterized. NCBI's taxonomy places the organism in Eukaryota, Viridiplantae, Streptophyta, Magnoliopsida, Lamiales, Pedaliaceae. The record is from RefSeq and is a predicted model, not a curated record.